RNAcentral lists this ribosomal RNA (468 nucleotides) under uncultured bacterium. Its description in RNAcentral is "partial 16S ribosomal RNA". It matches the Rfam family "Bacterial small subunit ribosomal RNA", at positions 28 to 507 of the family's 1533-position model. The record is from RNAcentral.
GACGAACGCUGGCGGCGUGCUUAACACAUGCAAGUCGAACGGAAAGGCGCGGCGUUUGUGGGGUGCUCGAGUGGCGAACGGGGGAGUAACACGUGAGUAACCUGCCCUUGACUGUGGGAGAACAUCAGGAAAAAGGGGCGAAUACCGGGGAGGAGCUCCUGCUGCACGGGGGGGGGUGGAAAGAGUCGGCGGUGGGGGAAGGACUCGAGGCUUAUCAGCUUGUUGGGGGGGUAGUGGCUUUCCAAGGCUUUGACGGGUAGCCGGCCUGUGAGGCUGAACGGCCACAUUGGGCCUGAGGUACGGCCCAGGCUCCUACGCGAGGCAGCAGUGCGGAAUCUUGCCCAAUGGGCGGCAGCCUGAUGCAGCAACGCCGCGUGCGGGAUGACGCCCUUCGGGUUGUAAACCACUUUCGCCUGUGACGAAGCGUGAGUGACGGUAAUGGGUACAGAAGCCCCGGCUAACUACGUG